CCCACCCUCGCUGCGCUGACUUUGGUGCCUAUUGAAAGUGAAGUGGUACAGAUAUUUCGCUGCACUUACUGGGACACACGUGCCGGGGCCCGCUGGUGAAAAGGAUCGAGGUGUUCUUUAAGAAGAUCGGAUAUUUUGUGUGGAUGUCAGAAGCCUCGUAAGCCAUGGGUAUCAUAGCCUUCUUGAAAUCACAAUUCAUCUGUCAUCUUCUUAUAUGUUACAUCUUUGUAAUGACUGGACUCAUCAUAAACUUCCUUCAAUUGUGCACAUUAAUUAUUUGGCUAUUCAACAAACAACUGUACAGGCGGAUCAACUGCAGAUUGGCUUACUGUAUUGCCAGCCAAUUGGUUUGGCUGCUGGAGUGGUGGUCAGGUACAGAAUGUACUCUUUUUACUGAUCAAAAGAAUUACGUUAAGUAUGGAAAAGAGAAUGCUAUUGUUAUUCUCAACCAUAACUAUGAGAUUGAUUUUCUUUGCGGAUGGGACUUCUGUGAAAGGUUUGGUGUCUUGGGGAGUUCAAAAGUACUUGCGAAGAAAGAGCUAGCUUAUGUUCCUCUGAUUGGUUGGAUGUGGUAUUUUCUGGAGAUAGUGUUUUGUAAGCGGCAGUGGGAGGAAGAUCGCAAAAACGUUGUCCAGAGCUUACUUAACCUCCGUGAUUACCCCGAAAUUUUUUGGUUUCUGAUUCACUGCGAAGGAACGCGCUUUACAGAGAAAAAACAUCAGAUUAGCAUGCAGGUGGCAGAAGCCAAAGGUUUACCCAAGCUGAAGCACCAUCUCCUCCCUCGAACAAAAGGCUUUGCAUUCACUGUUCAGUGUCUGAGGGGUGUAGUUGCAGCUGUGUAUGAUGCUACACUCAAUUUCAGAAAUGGUGAAAAUCCAACUUUACUGGGAACUUUACAUGGGAAAAAGUACCAUGCGGAUCUCUAUGUUCGACGGAUCCCAUUAGAAGAGAUUCCUGAAGACGAAAAGGAAUGUGCCAACUGGCUCCAUAAACUGUAUCAAGAAAAGGCAAGGUUAUUUCAUGGAUCUUCUGCAAGAGGAAUACUACAAAAAUGGCACUUACCCUGGCACAGCAAUUGUCCCACCAAAACGACCGUGGGUCCUUUUAAACUGGCUGUUCUGGUCUGGGUUACUGCUCUUUCCUUUGUUUAAGCUAGUUGCCAAUAUGAUCAUCAGCGGAUCGUCCCUGAUUCUAAUUGCAUUUCUGCUUAUCAUCAUUGUGGCCUCUGUUGGUAUGCGAUGGAUGAUUGGAGUGACAGAAAUAGAGAAGGGCUCCAGCUACGGUAACAAUGAAUCAAAGCGAAAAAAUUAAUUUCUGCGGAGGAUUGUACUUCGAAUGGAGUCAAGAUAUAUAUUUUUGAAAAGAACUUAAGGCAGACGCAGGGUUGGAGGAUGAUGCGCCUAAGUUACUGUGAUUCAUUCGUGUACUGAUCACUGGGUAGAGUGGUGUCUUAAUCUGCGUAGAAGGAUAGAAAGGGAGUCAUAUCCUUUAUGGUGUAUGUGGUACAUGAACCCAUUCACACGGUAAUGAGACAUGUUGAAAUUGGAUAUCGUUGCAGAAUUCCACAAUAAUAGUGCCACUAAAAGAUGUUGAGGCUUUCAAUCUAAAUGGAAAAUGACCUUUUUCUAAAAAAAACUGGUGUAACAGAAGAAUUUAGUCUUUUUCUAAUAACAUAAAAUUGUGCUUCUAACUUA
This is an RNA transcript of Hypanus sabinus (Atlantic stingray), 1694 nucleotides long. It is a transcript of the gene named 1-acylglycerol-3-phosphate O-acyltransferase 4 (lysophosphatidic acid acyltransferase, delta), with no coding region annotated. The record is from RefSeq and is a predicted model, not a curated record. NCBI's taxonomy places the organism in Eukaryota, Metazoa, Chordata, Chondrichthyes, Myliobatiformes, Dasyatidae. The transcript has 9 exons.